This 256-nucleotide ribosomal RNA is filed under the name uncultured bacterium. Its description in RNAcentral is "partial 16S ribosomal RNA". It matches the Rfam family "Bacterial small subunit ribosomal RNA", at positions 98 to 354 of the family's 1533-position model. The record is from RNAcentral.
CGGGACGGGUGAGUAACGCGUGGGUAACCUGCCAUAUACAGGGGGAUAACAGCGAGAAAUUGCUGCUAAAACCGCAUAAGCGCACGGAGUCACAUGACUCAGUGUGAAAAACUCCGGUGGUAUAUGAUGGACCCGCGUCUGAUUAGCCAGUUGGCAGGGUAACGGCCUACCAAAGCGACGAUCAGUAGCCGGCCUGAGAGGGUGGACGGCCACAUUGGGACUGAGACACGGCCCAAACUUCUACGGGAGGCAGCAG